This 253-nucleotide ribosomal RNA is filed under the name uncultured bacterium. Its description in RNAcentral is "partial 16S ribosomal RNA". It matches the Rfam family "Bacterial small subunit ribosomal RNA", at positions 524 to 776 of the family's 1533-position model. The record is from RNAcentral.
CACGUAGGGCGCAAGCGUUGUCCGGAAUUAUUGGGCGUAAAGAGCUCGUAGGCGGUCUGUCGCGUCUGCUGUGAAAUCCCGAGGCUCAACCUCGGGCUUGCAGUGGGUACGGGCAGGCUAGAGUGCGGUAGGGGAGAAUGGAACUCCGGGUGUAGCGGUGGAAUGCGUAGAGAUCCGGAGGAAGACCGGUGGCGAAGGCGGCCUGCUGGGCAGUUACUGACACUGAGGCGCGACAGCGUGGGGAGCAAACAGG